GGGCCGGCUGUAGUAGAUGCUCUAAACGCUUAAAACCAUGCCGCUCCCGUGCUGUUCCUAACCCACGCCUCCACGCCACAUCCAUGGCCACCCUCAUCCCUCGUGCUCCACCACCAAAUCCCCACCGUCACUUCCUUCUCCACCGACCACCGACCCUAUCCCCCCAGCUCCGCCUGCGCCUCCCUGUUCGCCGCCUCCGCCUCGCUUCCCCGGUCGCGGCCAUUGCCACGGUGACGGCCGCCGUGCCCCCCGACGACAUCUCGCAGCUCAAUAACCGUCUCCGCGCGCUCGUCCGCCGCCGCGGUGUCUCUUCCGCUGCCACAUCUCCCAUGGACCCCGCCCAGGCGGACGCCUACCUCCACAUGAUCCGCGAGCAGCAGCGCCUCGGCCUCCGCCAGCUCCGCCGGCACUCGGCCGAACCGGAAUACGAGAGAGACGUCGGAAGCAACGGGGAGGACGAGGAGGAGGGCGCCGGAAGGAGGAAGGGGAUGGCGGCCAGGAGCUCUUUGGGGCACCGUGUGGACCCGCGUGAGCUGGAGCCCGGCGAGUACGUCGUUCACAAGAAAGUCGGCGUCGGCAAGUUCGUCUGUAUAAGCGGAGAGGACGGAGAGGACUACGUGUUCAUUCAGUAUGCGGACGCCAUGGCGAAGCUUGCAGUCGACCAGGCAGCACGCAUGCUCUACCGAUACAACCUUCCUCAUGAGAAAAAGAGGCCAAGGAAUCUAAGCAAGCUGAAUGAUCCUUCUACAUGGGAGAAGAGGAGGCUGAAAGGAAAGCUUGCUGUUCAGAAGAUGGUGGUCAACUUGAUGGAGUUAUAUUUACAAAGGAUGAGGCAGAGAAGGCCGCCGUACCGAAAGCCUGAGGCGAUGGAUCAGUUUGCUUCUGAAUUUCCUUACGAGCCUACCCCAGACCAAAACCAGGCUUUCAUAGAUAUUGAGAAUGAUCUGACUGAAAGGGAAACACCAAUGGACAGAUUGAUCUGUGGAGAUGUCGGGUUUGGUAAAACGGAAGUUGCAAUGCGUGCUAUAUUCAUCGUUGUAUCUACAGGAUAUCAAGCUAUGGUUCUCGCACCAACUGUAAUACUAGCCAAUCAACACUAUGAUGUAAUGUCUGAGCGUUUCUCCAACUACCCUGACAUAAAGGUCGCCAUAUUCAGCGGUGCUCAGAGCAAGGAUGAAAAGGAUGAGCUAAUAACAAAAAUUACGAAUGGGCAUUUGCAAAUAAUUGUUGGAACUCAUGCUCUUCUUACAGAACGGAUGGCCUAUAACAAUCUCGGUCUCCUAGUGGUGGAUGAGGAACAGAAGUUCGGUGUACAACAAAAGGAGAAGAUUGCAUCAUUCAAAGCUUCUAUUGAUGUUCUUACCCUGUCCGCAACACCCAUUCCACGAACUCUGUAUCUUGCUUUAACCGGUUUCCGUGAUGCAAGUUUAAUGUCUACACCACCUCCGGAAAGAGUCGCUGUCAAGACCUAUGUGUCAGCAUUUAGUAGAGAAAGUGCUCUAUCAGCUAUCAAAUUGGAGUUGAAGCGUGGCGGUCAAGUUUUCUAUGUUGUUCCUCGAAUAAAAGCCAUAGACGAUGUAUUGCAAUUUCUCAAGGACUCUCUUCCAGAUGUACCGAUGGCUAUUGCUCAUGGAAAGAAAGUGUCAAAGAAUAUACAACUUGCUAUGGAAAAGUUUUCUUGUGGGGAAAUAAAGAUUCUUGUAUGCACACAUAUCAUUGAAAGUGGAAUAGAUAUUCCAAAUGCCAACACAAUGAUAGUCCAGUAUGCAGAACUAUUUGGGCUCGCACAGCUGUAUCAGUUGCGAGGAAGAGUAGGAAGAUCAGGUAGAGAGGGUUUCACAUACCUCUUCUACACUGACAAGUCUUUGCUUUCCAGAAUUGCCAUGGAUAGACUUGGAGCUAUUGAAGAGCAUUCUGAUCUCGGUCAAGGUUUCCAUGUCGCAGAGAAGGAUAUGGGUAUUAGGGGAUUUGGAAGCAUGUUUGGUGAGCAACAAUCUGGAGACGUUGCAAAUGUUGGCAUCGAUCUGUUCUUUGAUAUGCUUUUUGACAGCUUGUCCAAGGUUGAUCACUUUCGUCUUAAACCCAUUCCUUACAAAGAUGUUCAGCUGGACAUUAACAUUUCUCCGCAUCUCUCUUCUGAAUACAUAAGUUAUCUUGAAAAUCCUGUUGAAUUGCUCAAUGAAGCAGCGAAAGCUGCAGAACAAGAUAUAUGGAACUUAAUGCAAUUCACAGAAGAUCUUCGUCGACAGUAUGGGAAGGAGCCCCGUGAUAUGGAGUUGCUAUUAAAAAAGCUCUAUGUAAGGCGGAUGGCAGCAGAUCUUGGUAUCAGCCGGAUAUAUCCAUCUGGCAAAAUGAUCAUCAUGAAAACAAACAUGAACAGGAAAGUUUUUAGGCUCAUGGAAGAAACCAUGGCUUCUGAGACGCAUCGCAAUUCUUUGUCAUUCACUGGAAAGGAAAUUAAGGCUGAACUUCUGGUCAAUCUGCCAGACACACUACUUCUGAACUGGCUUUUUCAUUGCUUAGCGGAUUGCUAUGCAAUAAUGCCAGCCCUUGUGAGAUACUAGAUUCUUUGAUUGAAAUGAAGGUUAUGACAAGCACUAUAACCUGGAAUGAACUAUUCAUGUUCGAGAAAAUGAAAAGGCAAGACACAGAUAUUCAAUUAAUCGGUCAAUUUUCAGUUAAUUGGCCAUGGGACGGUCUCUUCUUUUGUUGGUGUUGUCACUUCAGGCAAUUAAUCAGCCAUUGGUGUGUUGGUAUUGUCACUUCAGGCAAAUGUGUACCAAUAAUAUGCAACAUUGUUAAGAAAAUCUGUGAAAGUGUAGUGUGACAGAUUAUACCUAUACGUUAACUGGAUGCCCAAAUGGAAAGGCGUGAACUGCAUUUCUGCAUCCACUGACAGUUUUGUUUAGCUAGCAGUGGCUGGUGUGAUGCACAAUUGAUAUCCUGAAAUGCUGUUCGUCAAUGGCGUUAAAGAAUUCUGGUUCAGAUUCUUAUUGCAGGGAAGAUCUCCAAGAUUCUUCUGAGGCUUUCUGAUGGAGAAAAUCCAGCAUUGUGACUAACAGGUGCAUAGGGUUCAUGACUGGUAACGUAUAGUUUUGUAAUCGGAGUGCGCUGUAUUAGGUGGGGAGAUUGAGUGAUUGAUUAGUAAUCAGAAUGCGCUGUAUUAGGCGGGGAGAUUGAGUGAUUGAUUACUUUCCCUUUGAUUCAGCGAAGGGUUGGUUUCUCUUUUUUUUAGGGGAACUAAAACUUUAUUGAUUAACUCAUUCCAGAGGUAUGAUUACAGUGUCAUGCGGCUCAAGUAGCCACACAUGUCUACCUAUGUCUAGGUACAAAGAGUAUUUUCACUAGACUAUCAGC
RNAcentral lists this ribosomal RNA (3357 nucleotides) under Triticum aestivum (bread wheat). Its description in RNAcentral is "partial small subunit ribosomal RNA". The record is from RNAcentral. Lineage: Eukaryota; Viridiplantae; Streptophyta; Magnoliopsida; Poales; Poaceae.